Pipistrellus kuhlii (Kuhl's pipistrelle) is the source of this 280-nucleotide long non-coding RNA. RefSeq lists it as uncharacterized. The record is from RefSeq and is a predicted model, not a curated record. Lineage: Eukaryota; Metazoa; Chordata; Mammalia; Chiroptera; Vespertilionidae. The transcript is spliced from 2 exons.
GGGCCGUCCAGGAGGGCCAGCUUUCUCAGGGCCUCCCGGAAGUGGCGGUGGGUCCCAGCGCGUCCUCCCGAGCUGACCCCGCCGGCUGCUGGGGCGCUGUGCCCCUGCCCGGAGGAGAGUCCUUGGCAGGGAAUGAGGAGCUACUCUUUCUCCAUCAUGAUACUAAGUGCUUGGGUAACUGUCUUUGCAUGGAUGAGCUACCAGUGUGGAUAGACAAGUAAAAAAGAAGUCAGCGUAUUCUUGUAGAUAUUAAAGUGGAAAUAAAUAUUGCAGUCUACAA